Ceratobasidium sp. 394 is the source of this 82-nucleotide non-coding RNA. NCBI's taxonomy places the organism in Eukaryota, Fungi, Basidiomycota, Agaricomycetes, Cantharellales, Ceratobasidiaceae. The record is from the annotation of a GenBank genome assembly.
GCCGGGUUGGCUCAAUGGUAGAGCAUCGCCCUCCUACCAGUUGUUUAGGCGAAGGUUGCGGGUUCAAGCCCCGUGCUCGGUA